GCUGGCGGCGUGCCUAUACAUGCAAGUCGAGCGAAUGGAUUAAGAGCUUGCUCUUAUGAAGUUAGCGGCGGACGGGUGAGUAACACGUGGGUAACCUGCCCAUAAGACUGGGAUAACUCCGGGAAACCGGGGCUAAUACCGGAUAACAUUUUGAACCGCAUGGUUCGAAAUUGAAAGGCGGCUUCGGCUGUCACUUAUGGAUGGACCCGCGUCGCAUUAGCUAGUUGGUGAGGUAACGGCUCACCAAGGCAACGAUGCGUAGCCGACCUGAGAGGGUGAUCGGCCACACUGGGACUGAGACACGGCCCAGACUCCUACGGGAGGCAGCAGUAGGGAAUCUUCCGCAAUGGACGAAAGUCUGACGGAGCAACGCCGCGUGAGUGAUGAAGGCUUUCGGGUCGUAAAACUCUGUUGUUAGGGAAGAACAAGUGCUAGUUGAAUAAGCUGGCACCUUGACGGUACCUAACCAGAAAGCCACGGCUAACUACGUGCCAGCAGCCGCGGUAAUACGUAGGUGGCAAGCGUUAUCCGGAAUUAUUGGGCGUAAAGCGCGCGCAGGUGGUUUCUUAAGUCUGAUGUGAAAGCCCACGGCUCAACCGUGGAGGGUCAUUGGAAACUGGGAGACUUGAGUGCAGAAGAGGAAAGUGGAAUUCCAUGUGUAGCGGUGAAAUGCGUAGAGAUAUGGAGGAACACCAGUGGCGAUGGCGACUUUCUGGUCUGUAACUGACACUGAGGCGCGAAAGCGUGGGGAGCAAACAGGAUUAGAUACCCUGGUAGUCCACGCCGUAAACGAUGAGUGCUUAGUGUUAGAGGGUUUCCGCCCUUUAGUGCUGAAGUUAACGCAUUAAGCACUCCGCCUUGGAAGUACGGCCCGCAUGCUGGAUCUCAAUGAAUUGAACGGGGCCGGCACAUAGCGUGGAACAUGUUGUUUAAUUCGAUACAACGGGAAAGACCUUAACAAGUCCUGACAUUCUUUGACAACCCUUGAGAUUAGGCUUUUCCCUCGGGAACCAAAUGACCAGUGGUGCAUGGUUGUUGUCAAGUUGGGUUGUGAGAUGGUGGGUUUAGUUCCGCCACGAGCGCAUCCCUUGAUUUUUAUUGCCCAUCCGGAAGAAAGUGGGGAUGACGUUCAAUUAUCCUGCCCCUUAUGACCUGGGGUUCACACGUGGUUCAAUUGACGGUUCAAAGAAGUGCAAGGCCGGGAAGUGGAAGUUAUUUUAUUAAACCGGUUUCAAUUUGGAUUGUUGGGUGCAACUUGCCUUCCAGAAAGCGGAAUUGGUUGUUAUUGGGGAUUAACCAGGCGCAGUGAAUUCGUUUCCGGGCCUUGUUCCCCCCGCCCGUCACCUCUCUUGUGAAGUGUGCACUCCGAAGUCCGGGGGUUCUCCUUUCGUCCAGCCGCUAUGUGCGAUAUG
This 1412-nucleotide ribosomal RNA is filed under the name Bacillus sp. DBT3WC2. Its description in RNAcentral is "partial 16S ribosomal RNA". It matches the Rfam family "Bacterial small subunit ribosomal RNA". Lineage: Bacteria; Bacillati; Bacillota; Bacilli; Caryophanales; Bacillaceae. The record is from RNAcentral.